AGUGAACGCUGGCGGUAGGCCUACACAUGCAAGUCGAACGGCAGCACAGUAAGAGCUUGCUCUUACGGGUGGCGAGUGGCGGACGGGUGAGGAAUACAUCGGAAGCUACUUUUUCGUGGGGGAUAACGUAGGGAAACUUACGCUAAUACCGCAUACGACCUACGGGUGAAAGCAGGGGAUCUUCGGACCUUGCGCGAAGUAAUGAGCCGAGGUCGGAUUAGCUAGUUGGCGGGGUAACGGCCCACCAAGGCGACGACCGGUAGCUGGUCUGAGAGGAGGAUCAGCCACACUGGAACUGAGACACGGUCCAGACUCCUACGGGAGGCAGCAGUGGGGAAUAUUGGACAAUGGGCGCAAGCCUGAUCCAGCCAUACCGCGUGUGUGAAGAAGGCCUUCGGGUUGUAAAGCCCUUUUGUUGGGAAAGAAAAGCAGCAGGUUAAUACCUCGCUGUUCUGACGGUACCCGAAGAAUAAGCACCGGCUAACUUCGUG
Molecule: ribosomal RNA, 491 nt
Filed under: uncultured bacterium
Lineage: Bacteria
Description: partial 16S ribosomal RNA
Rfam family: Bacterial small subunit ribosomal RNA
Source: RNAcentral